Molecule: transfer RNA, 77 nt
Filed under: Dehalococcoidia bacterium
Lineage: Bacteria; Bacillati; Chloroflexota; Dehalococcoidia
Description: tRNA-Val
Rfam family: tRNA
About the family: Transfer RNA (tRNA) molecules are approximately 80 nucleotides in length.
Source: RNAcentral
GGACGGUUAGCUCAGUCGGUUAGAGCGUUCGGUUCACAUCCGAGAGGUCGUGGGUUCGAAUCCCUCACCGUCCACCA